RNAcentral lists this long non-coding RNA (1429 nucleotides) under Triticum aestivum (bread wheat). Its description in RNAcentral is "long non-coding RNA (TAES_LNC011258)". Lineage: Eukaryota; Viridiplantae; Streptophyta; Magnoliopsida; Poales; Poaceae. The record is from RNAcentral.
CUCCGUUUUGACUUCUUCUCGCACACACAUACAACAGCGGGCGGCGCAAGUCUCUGAGCUGCGAUGCAGAGCACACCUAUGCGGAGCGGCGCGACCUACAACAGCGUUGCUGCGCGUAGGACCAGGAGCAGGGCAGCACCGGAGUGCCGGUCGAUGAGCGCAGGCCCAGAAGAGGACCAUGACGCUGCCAAGGAGGUGAUGAACACAACAAACAGCCGGCGUUCAGGUUGAGUUUCUUUUGUUCCCUGAAUCUCUAUUACGGCUAGUGUUCCUGUAUGUGGGUGUGCAAGUUGCGCUUCUUACCUGAAUCCCUCUCAUGUAUGUCUGCAAAUUAAGUAUUUCUUUCAUUUUACAGUAGUAUUUGGAGCAGUAAAAUUUUUGGAGUCCCUCUCAUGUAUGUCAGCAAGUUAAGUAUUUCUUUAGUUUACAGUAGUAAUUGGGGCAGUAUUAGAUUUUUUUUGUUCUGUGAAUCCCUCUCAUGUAUGUCUGAAAUUAAGUACUGUGUUUCUUUCAGUUUACAGUAGUAAUUUGAGCAGUAGUAAUUUUUUUGCUUCCUGAAUACCUCUCAUGUAUGUCUGCAAAUCAAAUAUUUUUUGCAGCUUACAGUAGUAACUGGAAGAUAUUUAUAGAAUUAGGUAAAUUUUCGUUGGGUACCAAAUGAGCACAUAUCAUAUUUGGAUACAUGGCGUGGUCUAUAGCUAUGCAUGUUAAAUAGUAAUUAGGUUUUACCACGUCCCAGUGUAUUUUAAUCUAUAGGAUUGUGAAUGAUUAAGAUUCAUAGAAUCUGACAUGUAAUCUAGGCAGUUCUAUCUUAUCCAUAAAAGAAAAAAGAUGGAGUAAUUAAUUUAGGUUCGUCGUGACCAUUCACUAGGAUUUAGAGAUUACAAUAUUUCAAAAUUGGUACAGUUUGCGCAUUAUGUACCUUGGAUCACUUUAAGUGAAACGGAAGAUUGUUACUUUUUUUUUGCAUGUACAGCUCAGUAGCUUCUCAUGGUGGAGCACAAGGCCCUGCUGCCAUUAGCCUUGGAAAUGUUAACUCUGUAGGGAGCCCAACAUAACAGAAGUCUCAAGAUGAUGCCUAGAAGAUUGAGGUGAAGAAUGGAAGAUGAUGCAUGGUAGUACAUGUGCUUAGUUGAUGUUGUUCUAUGCCAUUUUGUGAGAAAACAAGAUUGAGAAAUGAUCUUGUUUUAUUGCUAUGUCAUUCUGCGAGGAUGGAUAAUUGUGUACUUAUGUUUAUUUGAUGUUACGUCAUUUUGUGAGAAUCUGAGAGCUUAUUUGGUGAUGUAAACUUGUCCUAUGUCAUUUUGUGAGAAUCUAAGAGCUCAUUUGAUGUUGUGCACUUUUGCUAUGUCUUGGUGAGAACUUGGGAGCUUAAGUGAAUGUUGUGCUAUAUGUUUUAUGUAUAUGUGUUAAGAGAACCCGAUGGAUA